GUGAAAUUGGUAGACACGCUGCUCUUAGGAAGCAGUGCUAGAGCAUCUCGGUUCGAGGUGCUAGAGCAUCUCGGUUCGAGUCCGAGUGGCGGCA
Molecule: transfer RNA, 94 nt
Filed under: Lysimachia christinae
Lineage: Eukaryota; Viridiplantae; Streptophyta; Magnoliopsida; Ericales; Primulaceae
Description: tRNA-Leu
Rfam family: tRNA
About the family: Transfer RNA (tRNA) molecules are approximately 80 nucleotides in length. Their secondary structure includes four short double-helical elements and three loops (D, anti-codon, and T loops). Further hydrogen bonds mediate the characteristic L-shaped molecular structure. tRNAs have two regions of fundamental functional importance: the anti-codon, which is responsible for specific mRNA codon recognition, and the 3' end, to which the tRNAs corresponding amino acid is attached (by aminoacyl-tRNA synthetases). tRNAs cope with the degeneracy of the genetic code in two manners: having more than one tRNA (with a specific anti-codon) for a particular amino acid; and 'wobble' base-pairing, i.e. permitting non-standard base-pairing at the 3rd anti-codon position.
Source: RNAcentral